CCUACGGGGCGCUGCAGUGGGGGAUAUUGCACAAUGGGGGGAACCCUGAUGCAGCGACGCCGCGUGGGUGAAGAAGCGCCUCGGCGCGUAAAGCCCUGUCAGCAGGGAAGAAAAUGACGGUACCUGAAGAAGAAGUCCCGGCUAACUACGUGCCAGCAGCCGCGGUAAUACGUAGGGGGCAAGCGUUAUCCGGAUUUACUGGGUGGAAAGGGGGCGCAGACGGCGAUGCAAGCCAGGAGUGAAAGCCCGGGGCCCAACCCCGGGACUGCUCUUGGAACUGCGUGGCUGGAGUGCAGGAGGGGCAGGCGGAAUUCCUGGUGUAGCGGUGAAAUGCGUAGAUAUCAGGAGGAACACCGGUGGCGAAGGCGGCCUGCUGGACUGCAACUGACGUUGAGGCCCGAAAGCGUGGGGAGCAAACAGGAUUAGAUACCCCUGUAGUC
Molecule: ribosomal RNA, 440 nt
Filed under: uncultured bacterium
Lineage: Bacteria
Description: partial 16S ribosomal RNA
Rfam family: Bacterial small subunit ribosomal RNA
Source: RNAcentral